GAUGAACGCUGGCGGCGUGCCUAAUACAUGCAAGUCGAGCGAACAGACGAGGAGCUUGCUCCUCUGACGUUAGCGGCGGACGGGUGAGUAACACGUGGAUAACCUACCUAUAAGACUGGGAUAACUUCGGGAAACCGGAGCUAAUACCGUAUAAUAUAUUGAACCGCAUGGUUCAAUAGUGAAAGACGGUUUUGCUGUCACUAAUAGAUGGAUCCGCGCCGCAUUAGCUAGUUGGUAAGGUAACGGCUUACCAAGGCUACGAUGCGUAGCCGAACUGAGAGGGUGAUCGGCCACACUGGAACUGGGACGCGGACCAGACUCCUACGGGAGGCAGCAGUAGGGAACCUUCGGCAAUGGGCGAGAGCCUGACGGAGCAACGCCGCGUGAGUGAUGAAGAUCUUCGGAUCGUAAAACUCUGUUAUUAGGGAAGAACAAAUGUGUAAGUAACUAUGCACGUCUUGACGGUACCUAAUCAGAAAGCCACGGCUAACUACGUG
RNAcentral lists this ribosomal RNA (497 nucleotides) under uncultured bacterium. Its description in RNAcentral is "partial 16S ribosomal RNA". It matches the Rfam family "Bacterial small subunit ribosomal RNA", at positions 28 to 507 of the family's 1533-position model. The record is from RNAcentral.